GUAAUCCUCUUGGUAUGCAUUUACAGGAAAAUCUAAUGACACUGUCACUGCCACAUGGAAAACUAUACUCAUAGAUGCCUGAACUAAUCUACUAAGGUAAUUGAUAGCAAAAAAAAAAUAAAAAAAAAAUAGGUCAUGACUUGUGCGGGCGGAGAGUAAGUCCGGAAGCGUAGGUUCGGGACACAACCUGCGCUUAGGAAGGCUCUGGUUCAUCUGGCAGUGACUGUGGAGUAAGAGAAAACAAAAACAGGAUUUUUGUGCAACAAACGGAUAAAUGAGAGAGCAGAAGGUUUAUGAAACGACCCGCAAACGAUCCACGCAAUUAGAGCUAAGCUGUCCUCAGCGAUAGGGACAUUCGCUCACGGGACUGGUCAGAUGGUGAAAACGACUUGCUCGCUGCCUCAUCGACUAUGAUGCAGUGGCAGCCCAGUGCUACACUAUUCCUCCCAAAGGACAAGCAUUGGGUUAAUAAUUGUAUUGGAACUGUUUCCAUCUCCCUGGCUGAUUGCCCUGUCUACAACAAGAAUUGGUCAGAUUGUGAAAACAACCUGCUUACCUGCCUCAUUGACUGAGAUGUAGUAUCAAUACAAUGCUACACUAUUCCCCCCUAGAGACUGAUGUAAGUCCUACAAGAUUAUGUUCAGUAGAUAUUGCCUUCAACAGACAACACCUCCACCAUGGACUUUAUAUUGGUAGAGAGUCCUGCCUUGCCAAGCACUGUCUCUCCACAGCCUGCUGUGUGCCCAACUUGGUGAUGACCAUUCAGAUUGCUUUGCACAAACAUGCACAUUUGCCAGUUGUAGUGACUCCCAUAAUGUAUUUUAUAGGAGCUGCCCUGCUACUGAGGUAGCAGUUCUCAGAUUCAAACUUGGUUUCACACUAGGCGAGACCAGACAGUAAGCAAAACAAUUAAUGCUUCCUUCCU
RNAcentral lists this long non-coding RNA (925 nucleotides) under Penaeus chinensis. RNAcentral describes it as "uncharacterized LOC125030829, transcript variant X2". The record is from RNAcentral. Lineage: Eukaryota; Metazoa; Arthropoda; Malacostraca; Decapoda; Penaeidae.